CCCGCUGAACUUAAGCAUAUCAGUAAGCGGAGGAAAAGAAAAUAACAAUGAUUACCUCAGUAGCGGCGAGUGAAGAGGUAAAAGCCCAAGAUGUAAAUCUGCUCACAAAAGCGGAAUUGUAAUCUAUGGAAUAUCUCAGAAGGAGGACAUCACUCAUAAGUUCUUUGGAACAAGACACCAUAGAGGGUGAAAGUCCCGUCUUUGGAGUGAUAGAAUCGAUAUGAGCUGUUUCCAAGAGUCGGGUAGUUUGGGAAUGCUGCCCUAAUUGGGAGAUAAACUUCUCCUAAGGCUAAAUAUUUAUAGGAGACCGAUAGCAUACAAGUACUGCGAAGGAAAGAUGAAAAGAACUUUGAAAAGAGGGUUAAAAGACUUGAAAUCGUUGAAAAGGAAGCAGUAAAAGAGAAAUGAGUCUGCGUUAAUUUGUGAUCGUUCUAAGUUGCAGGGUGGAGAGUAUCUCAUAGAGCUCUUAUUUUGCAAUGAAAAAUGAAAAGCUUUUAACGUAUGACAGACAAAAUGAGAUUUAUUUCCAAGAAUAAGGUAGAAGUUUACUCAACUGCUUGAAGUUGGAAAUAAGUCUGAGGGAUUAUCUAAUGAUUUUGUCAAAAUGGCUUUUACUGACCCGUCUUGAAACACGG
RNAcentral lists this ribosomal RNA (635 nucleotides) under uncultured fungus. RNAcentral's name for it is "eukaryotic LSU rRNA". It matches the Rfam family "Eukaryotic large subunit ribosomal RNA", at positions 24 to 664 of the family's 3401-position model. Lineage: Eukaryota; Fungi. The record is from RNAcentral.